This is a long non-coding RNA of Gavialis gangeticus (Gharial), 535 nucleotides long. RefSeq lists it as uncharacterized. NCBI's taxonomy places the organism in Eukaryota, Metazoa, Chordata, Crocodylia, Gavialidae. The transcript is spliced from 3 exons. The record is from RefSeq and is a predicted model, not a curated record.
AUAGGCAAUUAACAGUGCUUAGUGAAAGAUUGCAUGGUGGGUGGCCUAAUGAGAUUCCUCUGCUGAGGGAGAAUUGCUUGCAAGCAAAGAGAAAACUUGUUCCUUGAGUCAGAUGCAGCUCCUGCUGCUUUUAUUACAGCUGUACCAGGUGACUUCAGCCAAGAUCAGAGUCCCAUUGUGCUUGGUACCAUAUUGUAAGAGACAUCUCCUGCCCCCCAAAUUGAUUUUUGGGCUACAUAGGUAAGAGGUGAAGGUGGAAAACAAGCGUGCAGAGCUGAAGUGUCUGUCCAAGGUCACAUGGCAGUAAGAUUCCUGGAAUCCCUCCCAAGAUUGAUGGCAAAACAGCUGCAGAUCUGAGUUAUAAGAAAUCACACAGUCGGUUCUUAUUUGAAACAGUUCACCCUCAUUCUGGAAGGGAGAAGUGAAUCUGAACAGAGGUACCAGGCACUUUGAGACAGGUUCUACAUUCAGGGCAUGAGAAUGAAUUAGACAUACAGUCUACCUAUCUCCCACUUCAGAAGAAAGUUGAGAAAAC